UACGCGGUAUGCAAACGUUAUCCGGAAUUAUUGGGCGUAAAGCGUUUGUAGGCGGGCGAGUGUGUUUAAUGUUAAAUCUUAAAGCUCAACUUUGAAAUUGCGUUAAAAACUGCUUGUCUUGAGUAUGGUAGGGGUAAAGGGAAUUCCCAGUGUAGCGGUGAAAUGCGUAGAUAUUGGGAAGAACACUAAACAGCGAAGGCACUUUACUAGGCUAAUACUGACGCUGAGAAACGAAAGGUAAGGUAGCGAAACGGAUUAGAUACCCGUGUAGUCUUACCCGUAAACUAUGGACACUAAACGGUAAAUUUUUAAUUUACUGUUAAAGCUAACGCGUUAAGUGUCCCGCCUGGGGAGUAUGCUUGCAAAAGUGAAACUCAAAGGAAUUGACGGGGGCCCGCACAAGCGGUGGAGCAUGUGGUUUAAUUCGACGGUACACGAAGAACCUUACCAGGAUUUGACAUGCUAGAUAGUUGCUUGAAAGAGUAACGUGCCGUAAGGAAUCUAGACACAGGUGGUGCAUGGCUGUCGUCAGUUCGUGUUGUGAAAUGUUGGGUUAAGUCCCGCAACGAACGCAACCCUUGUCUUUAGUUAUUUUCUAAAGAGACUGCCUGUAAUAAACAGGAGGAAGGUAAGGAUGAGGUCAAGUCAUCAUGCCCCUUAUGUCCUGGGCUACACACGUGCUACAAUGGGAAAGACAAUGAGCUGCAAAUCUGUAAAUUUAAGCAAAUCUCUUAAACUUUCUCGUAGUUCGGAUUGUGGGCUGCAACUCGCCCACAUGAAGUUGGAAUCGCUAGUAAUCGCCAGUCAGCUAUAUGGCGGUGAAUCCGUUCCCGGGCCU
RNAcentral lists this ribosomal RNA (838 nucleotides) under uncultured bacterium. RNAcentral describes it as "bacterial SSU rRNA". It matches the Rfam family "Bacterial small subunit ribosomal RNA", at positions 524 to 1381 of the family's 1533-position model. The record is from RNAcentral.